UACGGAGGGGGCUAGCGUUGUCCGAAGUUACUGGGCGUAAAGCGCGCGUAGGCGGGUUGGUAAGUCCGCUGUGAAAGCCCGGAGCUCAACUCCGGAGGGUCGGUGGAUACUGCCAGUCUUGAAGGUGCUAGGGGGAGAUGGAAUUACCGGUGUAGCGGUGAAAUGCGUAGAUAUCGGUAGGAACACCAGUGGCGAAGGCGGCUCUCUGGGACGGUACUGACGCUGAGACGCGAAAGCGUGGGGAGCGAACAGG
This 253-nucleotide ribosomal RNA is filed under the name uncultured bacterium. Its description in RNAcentral is "partial 16S ribosomal RNA". It matches the Rfam family "Bacterial small subunit ribosomal RNA", at positions 524 to 776 of the family's 1533-position model. The record is from RNAcentral.